CCUGAAACCGUGUACGUACAAGCAGUGGGAGCCUCUUUAUGGGGUGACUGCGUACCUUUUGUAUAAUGGGUCAGCGACUUAUAUUCUGUAGCAAGGUUAACCGAAUAGGGGAGCCGAAGGGAAACCGAGUCUUAACUGGGCGUUAAGUUGCAGGGUAUAGACCCGAAACCCGGUGAUCUAGCCAUGGGCAGGUUGAAGGUUGGGUAACACUAACUGGAGGACCGAACCGACUAAUGUUGAAAAAUUAGCGGAUGACUUGUGGCUGGGGGUGAAAGGCCAAUCAAACCGGGAGAUAGCUGGUUCUCCCCGAAAGCUAUUUAGGUAGCGCCUCGUGAAUUCAUCUCCGGGGGUAGAGCACUGUUUCGGCAAGGGGGUCAUCCCGACUUACCAACCCGAUGCAAACUGCGAAUACCGGAGAAUGUUAUCACGGGAGACACACGGCGGGUGCUAACGUCCGUCGUGAAGAGGGAAACAACCCAGACCGCCAGCUAAGGUCCCAAAGUCAUGGUUAAGUGGGAAACGAUGUGGGAAGGCCCAGACAGCCAGGAUGUUGGCUUAGAAGCAGCCAUCAUUUAAAGAAAGCGUAAUAGCUCACUGGUCGAGUCGGCCUGCGCGGAAGAUGUAACGGGGCUAAACCAUGCACCGAAGCUGCGGCAGCGACACUAUGUGUUGUUGGGUAGGGGAGCGUUCUGUAAGCCUGUGAAGGUGGCCUGUGAGGGUUGCUGGAGGUAUCAGAAGUGCGAAUGCUGACAUAAGUAACGAUAAAGCGGGUGAAAAGCCCGCUCGCCGGAAGACCAAGGGUUCCUGUCCAACGUUAAUCGGGGCAGGGUGAGUCGACCCCUAAGGCGAGGCCGAAAGGCGUAGUCGAUGGGAAACAGGUUAAUAUUCCUGUACUUGGUGUUACUGCGAAGGGGGGACGGAGAAGGCUAUGUUGGCCGGGCGACGGUUGUCCCGGUUUAAGCGUGUAGGCUGGUUUUCCAGGCAAAUCCGGAAAACCAAGGCUGAGGCGUGAUGACGAGGCACUACGGUGCUGAAGCGACAAAUGCCCUGCUUCCAGGAAAAGCCUCUAAGCAUCAGGUAACAUCAAAUCGUACCCCAAACCGACACAGGUGGUCAGGUAGAGAAUACCAAGGCGCUUGAGAGAACUCGGGUGAAGGAACUAGGCAAAAUGGUGCCGUAACUUCGGGAGAAGGCACGCUGAUAUGUAGGUGAAGCGACUUGCUCGUGGAGCUGAAAUCAGUCGAAGAUACCAGCUGGCUGCAACUGUUUAUUAAAAACACAGCACUGUGCAAACACGAAAGUGGACGUAUACGGUGUGACGCCUGCCCGGUGCCGGAAGGUUAAUUGAUGGGGUUAGCGGUAACGCGAAGCUCUUGAUCGAAGCCCCGGUAAACGGCGGCCGUAACUAUAACGGUCCUAAGGUAGCGAAAUUCCUUGUCGGGUAAGUUCCGACCUGCACGAAUGGCGUAAUGAUGGCCAGGCUGUCUCCACCCGAGACUCAGUGAAAUUGAACUCGCUGUGAAGAUGCAGUGUACCCGCGGCAAGACGGAAAGACCCCGUGAACCUUUACUAUAGCUUGACACUGAACAUUGAGCCUUGAUGUGUAGGAUAGGUGGGAGGCUUUGAAGUGUGGACGCCAGUCUGCAUGGAGCCGACCUUGAAAUACCACCCUUUAAUGUUUGAUGUUCUAACGUUGGCCCGUAAUCCGGGUUGCGGACAGUGUCUGGUGGGUAGUUUGACUGGGGCGGUCUCCUCCUAAAGAGUAACGGAGGAGCACGAAGGUUGGCUAAUCCUGGUCGGACAUCAGGAGGUUAGUGCAAUGGCAUAAGCCAGCUUGACUGCGAGCGUGACGGCGCGAGCAGGUGCGAAAGCAGGUCAUAGUGAUCCGGUGGUUCUGAAUGGAAGGGCCAUCGCUCAACGGAUAAAAGGUACUCCGGGGAUAACAGGCUGAUACCGCCCAAGAGUUCAUAUCGACGGCGGUGUUUGGCACCUCGAUGUCGGCUCAUCACAUCCUGGGGCUGAAGUAGGUCCCAAGGGUAUGGCUGUUCGCCAUUUAAAGUGGUACGCGAGCUGGGUUUAGAACGUCGUGAGACAGUUCGGUCCCUAUCUGCCGUGGGCGCUGGAGAACUGAGGGGGGCUGCUCCUAGUACGAGAGGACCGGAGUGGACGCAUCACUGGUGUUCGGGUUGUCAUGCCAAUGGCACUGCCCGGUAGCUAAAUGCGGAAGAGAUAAGUGCUGAAAGCAUCUAAGCACGAAACUUGCCCCGAGAUGAGUUCUCCCUGAGACUUAGAGUCUCCUGAAGGAACGUUGAAGACGACGACGUUGAUAGGCCGGGUGUGUAAGCGCAGCGAUGCGUUGAGCUAACCGGUACUAAUGAACCGUGAGGCUUAACC
Molecule: ribosomal RNA, 2394 nt
Filed under: Escherichia coli
Lineage: Bacteria; Pseudomonadati; Pseudomonadota; Gammaproteobacteria; Enterobacterales; Enterobacteriaceae
Description: bacterial LSU rRNA
Rfam family: Bacterial large subunit ribosomal RNA
Source: RNAcentral